CAGUCGCCGCGGUAAUACGAAGGGGGCUAGCGUUGUUCGGAUUUACUAGGCGUAAAGGGCGCGUAGGCGGAUUUGUAAGUCAGGGGUGAAAUCCCAAGGCUCAACCUUGGAACUGCCUUUGAUACUGUGGAUCUUGAGUCCGGGAGAGGUGAGUGGAACUGCGAGUGUAGAGGUGAAAUUCGUAGAUAUUCGCAAGAACACCAGUGGCGAAGGCGGCUCACUGGCCCGGAACUGACGCUGAGGCGCGAAAGCGUGGGGAGCGAACAGGAUUAGAUACCCGCGUAGUCCCUGUCUCUUAUAA
This 301-nucleotide ribosomal RNA is filed under the name uncultured bacterium. Its description in RNAcentral is "partial 16S ribosomal RNA". It matches the Rfam family "Bacterial small subunit ribosomal RNA", at positions 509 to 809 of the family's 1533-position model. The record is from RNAcentral.